This 497-nucleotide ribosomal RNA is filed under the name uncultured bacterium. RNAcentral describes it as "partial 16S ribosomal RNA". It matches the Rfam family "Bacterial small subunit ribosomal RNA", at positions 28 to 507 of the family's 1533-position model. The record is from RNAcentral.
GAUGAACGCUGGCGGCGUGCCUAAUACAUGCAAGUCGAGCGAACAGACGAGGAGCUUGCUCCUCUGACGUUAGCGGCGGACGGGUGAGUAACACGUGGAUAACCUACCUAUAAGACUGGGAUAACUUCGGGAAACCGGAGCUAAUACCGGAUAAUAUAUUGAACCGCAUGGUUCAAUAGUGAAAGACGGUUUUGCUGUCACUUAUAGAUGGAUCCGCGCCGCAUUAGCUAGUUGGUAAGUUAACGGCUUACCAAGGCAACGAUGCGUAGCCGACCUGAGAGGGUGAUCGGCCACACUGGAACUGAGACACGGUCCAGACUCCUACGGGAGGCAGCAGUAGGGAAUCUUCCGCAAUGGGCGAAAGCCUGACGGAGCAACGCCGCGUGAGUGAUGAAGGUCUUCGGAUCGUAAAACUCUGUUAUUAGGGAAGAACAAAUGUGUAAGUAACUAUGCACGUCUUGACGGUACCUAAUCAGAAAGCCACGGCUAACUACGUG